This 352-nucleotide RNase P RNA is filed under the name Bacillota bacterium. RNAcentral describes it as "Firmicutes bacterium (anaerobic digester metagenome) RNase P RNA component class A". It matches the Rfam family "Bacterial RNase P class A". Rfam says of the family: Ribonuclease P (RNase P) is a ubiquitous endoribonuclease, found in archaea, bacteria and eukarya as well as chloroplasts and mitochondria. Its best characterised activity is the generation of mature 5'-ends of tRNAs by cleaving the 5'-leader elements of precursor-tRNAs. Cellular RNase Ps are ribonucleoproteins. The record is from RNAcentral. Lineage: Bacteria; Bacillati; Bacillota.
CAAGCAGGCCGGAUGGCCGCGGGCUGGCUGACGCCGGCCUGAGGAAAGUCCGAGCUCCACAGGGCAGGGUGCUGGGUAACACCCAGUGGGGGCGACCCCAAGGAAAGUGCAACAGAAAUCAAACCGCCGGCAUGAAUCAUCCGUCCGGUAAGGCUGAAACGGUGCGGUAAGAGCGCACCAGCAACCAGGCGACUGGUUGGCUAGGCAAACCCCACCUGGAGCAAGACCAAAUAGGAGGGAGAUAAAGUGGCCCGCUUUUCCCUCGGGUAUGGUCGCUGGAGGCGCCGGGUGACCGGCGUCCUAGAUAGAUGGUCAUCCUCGACAGAACUCGGCUUACAGACCUGCUUGUUCC